GCCCGCACAAGCGGUGGAGCAUGUGGUUUAAUUCGACGCAACGCGAAGAACCUUACCCAGGCUUGAACUGCAGAUGACAUCCUACGAAAGUAGGCUUCCGCAAGGACGUCUGUAGAGGUGCUGCAUGGCUGUCGUCAGCUCGUGUCGUGAGAUGUUGGGUUAAGUCCCGCAACGAGCGCAACCCUUGUCUUCUGUUGCCAUCAGGUUAAGCUGGGCACUCUGAAGAGACUGCCGGUGACAAACCGGAGGAAGGUGGGGAUGACGUCAAGUCAGCAUGGCCUUUAUGUCUGGGGCCACACACGUGCUACAAUGGCCGGUACAAACCGUCGCGAUACCGUAAGGUGGAGCUAAUCGGAGAAAGCCGGUCUCAGUUCGGAUUGUAGGCUGCAACUCGCCUGCAUGAAGUUGGAAUCGCUAGUAAUCGCGGAUCAGCACGCCGCGGUGAAUACGUUCCCGGGCCUUGUACACACCGCCCGUCACAUCACGAAAGCUGGCUGUACUAGAGAUCGCUGAGCGAACCCGCAAGGGACGCAGGCGCUUAAGGUAUGGUCAGUGAUUGGGGUG
This 564-nucleotide ribosomal RNA is filed under the name uncultured bacterium. RNAcentral describes it as "bacterial SSU rRNA". It matches the Rfam family "Bacterial small subunit ribosomal RNA", at positions 919 to 1482 of the family's 1533-position model. The record is from RNAcentral.